RNAcentral lists this ribosomal RNA (531 nucleotides) under Halobacillus sp. RNAcentral describes it as "bacterial SSU rRNA". It matches the Rfam family "Bacterial small subunit ribosomal RNA", at positions 89 to 604 of the family's 1533-position model. The record is from RNAcentral. RNAcentral also lists the same sequence under 1 other name. Lineage: Bacteria; Bacillati; Bacillota; Bacilli; Caryophanales; Bacillaceae.
GAACGAGCGGCGGACGGGUGAGUAACACGUGGGCAACCUGCCUGUAAGACCGGAAUAACCCCGGGAAACCGGGGCUAAUGCCGGGUAAUACUUUUCUUCGCAUGAAGGAAAGUUGAAAGAUGGCUUCUUGCUAUCACUUACAGAUGGGCCCGCGGCGCAUUAGCUAGUUGGUGAGGUAACGGCUCACCAAGGCGACGAUGCGUAGCCGACCUGAGAGGGUGAUCGGCCACACUGGGACUGAGACACGGCCCAGACUCCUACGGGAGGCAGCAGUAGGGAAUCUUCCGCAAUGGACGAAAGUCUGACGGAGCAACGCCGCGUGAACGAUGAAGGUCUUCGGAUCGUAAAGUUCUGUUGUUAGGGAAGAACAAGUACCGUGCGAAUAGAGCGGUACCUUGACGGUACCUAACGAGGAAGCCCCGGCUAACUACGUGCCAGCAGCCGCGGUAAUACGUAGGGGGCAAGCGUUGUCCGGAAUUAUUGGGCGUAAAGCGCGCGCAGGCGGUUCCUUAAGUCUGAUGUGAAAGCCCA